CAACCCUUAAGCCCUCGUUGCUUAGCGUUGGGAGCCUACUGGAACUCUCCUGUAGCUCCCCAAAGUCAGUGGCGGAGCCGGCUCGCACUCCAGACGUAGUAGCUUUUACCUAUCGCCUGUAGCGUGGACCGGUCCCCUGCCGUAAAACCCCCCAAUUCUUAUA
Molecule: unclassified non-coding RNA, 163 nt
Filed under: uncultured Nemania
Lineage: Eukaryota; Fungi; Ascomycota; Sordariomycetes; Xylariales; Xylariaceae
Description: sequence contains ITS2
Source: RNAcentral